This 479-nucleotide ribosomal RNA is filed under the name uncultured anaerobic ammonium-oxidizing bacterium. RNAcentral describes it as "bacterial SSU rRNA". It matches the Rfam family "Bacterial small subunit ribosomal RNA", at positions 364 to 833 of the family's 1533-position model. The record is from RNAcentral.
UUUCGCAAUGCCCGAAAGGGUGACGAAGCGACGCCGCGUGGGUGAGGAAGGCCUUCGGGUUGUAAAGUCCUGUCAGGAGUUAAGAAAUGUAAGUGCGCUAAUACCGCAUUUAUUUGACGAAGGCUCCAAAGGAAGUCACGGCUAACUCUGUGCCAGCAGCCGCGGUAAUACAGAGGUGGCAAGCGUUGUUCGGAAUUAUUGGGCGUAAAGAGCACGUAGGUGGGUUUGUAAGUCAGAUGUGAAAGCCUCCUGUUCAACGGGAGAAUUGCAUCUGAAACUACAGAUCUUGAGUGUAGGAGGGGAGAAUGGAACUUCUGGUGGAGCGGUGAAAUGCGUAGAUAUCAGAAGGAACGCCGGCGGCGAAAGCGAUUCUCUGGCCUAUUACUGACACUCAGUGUGCGAAAGCUAGGGUAGCAAACGGGAUUAGGUACCCCGGUAGUCCUAGCCGUAAACGAUGGGCACUAAGUAGAGGGGUUUUA